UAGAAUAAAAUAAAUAGUAAUGGU
RNAcentral lists this non-coding RNA (24 nucleotides) under Arabidopsis thaliana (thale cress). The record is from RNAcentral. Lineage: Eukaryota; Viridiplantae; Streptophyta; Magnoliopsida; Brassicales; Brassicaceae.